CAUGUGCAAAAUCUAGUCCAGGAAUUUUACCAAAAUCUCGAAAUAUACGAAAAUCUGUAUCCGAUGGAAUUAGACCAGAAUGGAAAACUUCUUCAGCAGCAGAUUGAGCAUUUGGAUUAUGCAAAAUUGAUAAAUGAUACCUUAACCAACCAUGGUGUGUUUGGACCAGUUUGGAAGAGAACUUCCUUUCCUCCGGAUCCAGCUGAUUCAAGAUUUAUAAAUGCUGUGGAAAGAAUUGAUAAGCACAAUCAAAGAAAAGACAUAUAAAGAUAGAAAGUGUAACAGAAAUUACCUACUUGCGUCAACCGGCAUCGAUUGUUUUGUUUUUUUUUCUAGGGAUGAGCUUGCAGAAAAAAAAUAUUCAAAGAAAAAAAGGAACAAAAAAAAACAGAAAUAAGAACAUUUAACAUUGAAAUUCGUAACAAGAUCCACGAAUUUAUUCGACCUAACUUUUGCGUCGUUUAAUUAUGUAUGCGCUUAACUUGUAGGUGCGAAACAAUAAAAUUUAUUUUUUAUUCAUUUAUACAAAUCAACUUACGUUGAUUUCCAGACAGUGUCCCAUUUAAAAUUCCACUGAAAUUGAAUUAUACUCAAUGAAUUGUUGGGAGAUGAUAAGCAAGCAUCAAAAGUAAGGUAUAAUAAAUAAGAACCCUUCUUAUAGAGGUGUUAUAUAAAAAUACACAUAUUAGCAUUGACAGAUCACGCUUAAAUGUCAAAUGAAACCAAAUUUAUAAUAAUGUCCAGCACUUGUUAUUGAUACAUCCGUUCCGAAGUGCGAAAGAGCUUCAGUACCAAUCCAUUUCAUUUAUUAAGUAGGUAUGGGGCAAAAGAAGUGCUACUCAAGGACGCGAAGCCUACACAAUCUGCAUUACAAAUUAUGUCUCUUCUGUCAAAGAGUAAAGUACCAGACUAUAUGCUUGUGCUGUCAGAGACAUCAAAGAUGCGCACUAAUUUUGCAUAUAAAUCGACGACGACAACGACGACGCGCCUACAGAAAAUUGCAUUCAAAUGCAAUAUGCAACGCAUUGCGCAAACGUAACGUUUUUGUUGUCUUAUUUUUCUGCUGCACUCGAGCUCAGUGCUUCUCUGACCACUUAAUUCCUCCUGCACUCUUCCAUAAUUGGAUUAAAUGCGGUUUUGAUCGAUAAACAAAAAUGACCUUGAAUUGUUGUUUUUGUUGCGCUGCAGGCAAAAUGUAAACUCGGUUAAGUGGAACGAUAAGGUCUCUGGCUCUCUGUGAACAAGUCAGUUUCACUUGCUUCUCCGAGGGAUUCCACGCGCACAUUCAUUCAUAUUCUUGUAAAGUAGCCAUUAUAGCUGAUAAAACAACACUCCAAAACUCACUCUUCACACACUUUGACGAGUAAUGAAUUCAAGUUGCCCAUAUAUAAACAUACUUUACCUACCCAUUCGCACGCACAAUGCAGUGGUAAUUGCAUUGUACGCAUGCAUAAUAAACCUGAUUGGGUACAACACCACUUCUUGUUGCGAUUAUCUAUUUCCUUUCUUUAUGGCGGUGGUGGCGACCCUGAACUUGAAAAAUUUGUUGUUGUUGUUGUCUCAUGUCGUCUGGCGUUUUAUAUAUUGAAAGAUGUAAUUGGUAUAAGGAAUUCGAUAAUGUUUUUGUUUUUAUGCUUUAAUAUCAACUUCCGGUCGGUAAGAAAA
Long non-coding RNA from Episyrphus balteatus (marmalade hoverfly), 1665 nucleotides. RefSeq lists it as uncharacterized. Lineage: Eukaryota; Metazoa; Arthropoda; Insecta; Diptera; Syrphidae. The record is from RefSeq and is a predicted model, not a curated record. The transcript has 3 exons.